This is a long non-coding RNA of Symphalangus syndactylus (siamang), 2724 nucleotides long. RefSeq lists it as uncharacterized. The record is from RefSeq and is a predicted model, not a curated record. NCBI's taxonomy places the organism in Eukaryota, Metazoa, Chordata, Mammalia, Primates, Hylobatidae.
ACCAGCGUGGAGGGGGGAGGGGCGCGCACCCUUUCCGCCCAGGCUUUUGCGGGCUCCUCGGGCCGAAUCCGAAGGGCUGUUCCUGAACCUUGACUUGCUUAUCAUAGGGACCCAAGCUCUAUUUUUGUAUGGCCAAUUCGUGCACUGCAGCAAAAUGGCCCUUCAGUCGCAUCUUGGGGUUUCUCCUCGGUUCAAAUGCUCUCGCGCUGAGAUAAAGCCGAAGGAAAAAAAAGCGACACCCUCCCUCCCCCAUUAAUUAUUUGUGGGGCCAGAGUAACGCGGGCUGGUGCAACCGGUGCAUAUAAGGACUUGUGUGCAAGGAAGGGGAUCCGCCUCCAGGCGCGGAAAGAGUGGGGGAGAAGCGCACACGCACAGUGCACCCAGCUGGGCGCUUCGGCAGUUUGCAGCUGCGGCGGGGUUGGGUCUACCCGCGGUCCCCGGAAUGCCGGACGGCUGGUCCCGGGUGUUGGUCACUCGCCGAUUCGGGGCUGGGAAGGUUUGCCAGAAGCGGGAAAGAUGGGAGAUCUGAGCGCUCUUUUGGCAUCGCCACACCCAGGACCUGCUCGUGCCGCAAUUCCCCACGGAAACAACCGAGUUGAAACGAGAAGCUUGCACUCUGGGUGCAGUAGCUAGAAGGCUUCAGGUAACUCCAAAGCCAACACUGGGUGAGGCAACACACGCCGCCUCAGGACUCAGCAUUUCUUUCAGGCUGCGUUUUCGUGGCAGACCUACCCAGAUUGAUGGAGAAAGUUUGGCUGGCAGAUAAGAAGUAACGCGGAAGAUGUGUACGUGAGAGCGAUUUCACUUCACUCACACUUUCUCAUUUAAAGGUUGGAUGUUUUACAGUGGUAUACAUGAUCCUCCUUCUGUAAUCAAGAGUGGGAAGUCGCUUCCCCCAAUCCCCGCGCAGCCCUUCUUCUCCCGCCUUAGCCACGCAAAAUACCUAGAAAGAAAACACUAAAACUGAACUUUUUUCCAAAUACAGCAGUAGCUUUGAAAGCAUUCUUUGCUCCUCUGUUAACAGCAGAAUGUACUUCUGACCAGUGCACUGAUGGUUUCUUAAUCAUGCAGUGUGAAGAUCAGCUUCAAAAUUAUCGUGGCUGUCACUCAGGUUUUCUGCUCAUUGGUAGACAAAGGGUGAGGAGGUGACUGAAAUUGGAACAGUGGAAGGACCCUUCACCAAAACCUGGAACUUCAGAAGAAUGGCAAGGCUGAAAAUGAUUAGUGUCAAUUCAUUCCAGUUGUGGUACCCUACCCAUAAGAUAUGACUAGAGACCACUCCUCUUUCCUAGUUCGAGGAAUAGGAAGACUUGUUUCUUUGUAUCUUGUUUGUUUCCAAACUUGGUUCUCUGUGCUAGUUAUUUAUUGCUUUAUAACAAACCACCACUAAACUCAAGGACUUAAAACAGUAACAGUCAUUUCUAUAGCUCAAAAAUGUAUAAUUUGGGCAGGAUUUCGUGGGGAAGGCUCAUUUGCUCCACAGAGCAUGAGGUAGGGCUGGAGGACCCACUUCCAAAAUGGCUUGCUCACAUGCCUAGCAAGUGUGAUGUUAGGCUAUCAAGAGUGCUCAGCCAGGGCUGAUGGCUGGGAGCUUCUCUUCCUCUCCGGGUGGGUCUCUCCACGGUCUGUUGGAGCUUCUUCAUGGCAUAGUGUCUGAGUUGCAAGAACAAGCAUCCCAUGAGAACCAGGUAGAAGCUGUAUUUCCUUUUCUGACCUAGCCUCAGAAGUCAUGCGACUUCAUUUCCACCACUGUCAUAAAUCUACCCGGACUCAAGAGGAGGAUGCAGAGAUGCCACCUUUCAAUAAGAGGAUUAUCUAAGUUGCAUUGAAGAAGAGCAUGUGGGAUGGAAGAUACUAUUGCAGUAUUUUUGGAAACUAAAGUCUACUGCAUUCUUCAAGCCUUACCAUCAAUUCUCUGUCCUCAGCAUUCUCCCCUUUGCUCACGUUAGCCAGAGUUGGUUUCUGCUUUUGCUUAUAACCAAAGAAUAAUGUAGCUGGCAUAAGCACAAACAUAUCAGAAUAAGUAUAAAUAUUUAAAUUUCCUUAUUAAAAGACAGAAGCUCUCAGAAUUUGUAGAAACAAAGCAAAAACAACCCCAAUAAAUUAAGAAUGUGGAUGCUUUUCAAAUCUUCCACAGAAAAUUAACAACAUUGGACCAGGCCAAAAAGUACGCUUUCUAUAAUUUCCCAAAAGCAACAAUCAUACAUACCAUAUUAUUAGUAGAUUUCAACAUUCAUGUAAUAGAUCCAUCUAAAUCUGUAAUUCUCAAUUAUUGAAACUUUUUCACUAGAAUGACUUUAGUUUCUCACCGUACUUAAAGUUACUCCCAGAGGCCCACCCAAGAAUUUAUCAUCAUCUUGAACAGCUCUUCUUUAGAAAAUAAAGCUCCAAUUUUCCUUUGUCCAAUUAGUCUACCUUCCAGCUUCCCGGCAGCCUUCACUAACAUUACUGCUGUUUUUCACUGACAUUACCGCUGCCUUACAAAGACUCCAUUUCUGUCCAUUGGUAGCAUUCUUUAUUAUUUUCCAGUUGGUCUUACCUCUUACCCUUCUUCUUUCCAACUUUGUGCUGGACCUCAGAGUGCCUGAAGGAGCCUCAAUUUCCAUGUACUGUCUUCCAUAUAAUGUGAUCUGAGGUGAAGAGCAUGGUCCCUGGAGUUGAACUGCCUGAAGUCAAAUCCUAAAAUUGAAAAAUAAAAAUAAAACAGUGGUUUUAUUGUUUUUA